GCCCAGGUAGCUCAGUCGGUAGAGCAAGGGACUGAAAAUCCCUGUGUCGGCGGUUCAAAUCCGUCCCUGGGCACCA
Molecule: transfer RNA, 76 nt
Filed under: Geminicoccaceae bacterium
Lineage: Bacteria; Pseudomonadati; Pseudomonadota; Alphaproteobacteria; Geminicoccales; Geminicoccaceae
Description: tRNA-Phe
Rfam family: tRNA
About the family: Transfer RNA (tRNA) molecules are approximately 80 nucleotides in length.
Source: RNAcentral